Gadus macrocephalus (Pacific cod) is the source of this 2152-nucleotide long non-coding RNA. RefSeq lists it as uncharacterized. The transcript is spliced from 2 exons. The record is from RefSeq and is a predicted model, not a curated record. Lineage: Eukaryota; Metazoa; Chordata; Actinopteri; Gadiformes; Gadidae.
UGGCAUGCUUUAAUGUUAUUUACUCUAAAACUCUUGUGGAAACUGUUACACAACUAAAGCCAUCCACCUGUUGCCUUGAUUCUUUACCUACCAACCUCUUUAAGAAUGUUUUUGACUGCCUAGCAAUAGACAUAUUGCAGAUAGUUAACAACUCUCUCCAGUCAGGCAACUUCCCAAAAGCCCUGAAAACUGCAGUUAUUAAACCCCUUUUAAAAAAGCGGAGCCUAGAUAACUCUAUUAUUAACAACUACAGACCAAUAUCAAAUCUACCCUUCAUAAGUAAAAUCAUUGAGAAAGUUGUCCUCCAGCAACUUAAUCACUUCCUGGCAUCAACUGGUUGUUAUGACACCUUCCAAUCAGGAUUUCGACCCCUGCACAGCACUGAGACCGCCCUCAUUAAAGUUGUAAACGACAUCCGUCUUAACACAGACUCUGGCAAAACCUCAAUACUAAUGCUACUAGACCUCAGUGCUGCAUUCGACACUGUAGACCAUACAAUACUUUUGGACAGGUUAGAAAACUGUGUGGGGCUUUCAGGCACAGUCUUAAAUUGGUUCAGAUCCUACCUACAAAAUAGGAACUACUUUGUUUCCAUUGGCGACUUUGUAUCAGAAUCAACCAACGUGAUGUGUGGAGUCCCACAAGGUUUGAUCUUAGGACCCUCUUUAUUCAACAUCUACAUGCUCCCACUAGGGCAAAUCAUGCAUAAUAACAAUAUUGACCAUCAUUGCUAUGCUGAUGACACGCAAAUCUAUGUAUCGCUAUCACCAAAUGACUAUCGGCCCAUAGAUCUGCUGUGCCAGUGCAUUGAGCAAGUGAAAGACUGGAUGUGCCGAAAUUUCCUUCAGCUAAAUGAGGAUAAAACAGAGAUAAUUGUAUUUGGUGCUAAAACGGAAAGGCUUAAAGUAACCCAACACCUUCACUCUCUGUCCCUGAAAACCUCAAUCAAAGCCAGAAAUCUAGGGGUUAUCAUGGAUUCUGAUUUACAUUUAGAAAGUCACAUCAAAUCAGUUACAAAAUCUGCAUAUUAUCACCUUAAAAAUGUAGCAAGACUUAGAGGGCUCACGUCCACCGAAGACUUACAAAAACUUGUACAUGCCUUUAUCACUAGUAAGCUUGAUUACUGCAAUGGUCUCCUUACAGGUCUCCCAAAACAAACUCUAAGGAAGCUUCAGCUUGUUCAGAAUGCUGCUGCUAGAGUUUUAACAAAGACCAAAAAAUUUGAACAUAUUACACCAAUUCUUAAAUCGUUACAUUGGCUUCCUGUAGGUCAGAGAAUUGAUUUUAAAAUCAUGUUGCUAACCUAUAAAUCCUAUAAAUGGUUUAGGCCCAAAAUAUUUAACUGAUAUGCUUCCACUACAUAAGCCUUCUAGAACACUAAGAUAUUCUGAGACCAAUCUGUUAAUUAUCCCCAGAGUAAACACGAAACAUGGGAAAGCAGGAUUUAGUUACUAUGCAACAAAUAGCUGGAAUAAACUCCCUGAGGAUUUAAGACUUGCCCCAACUCUGAGCACCUUUAAAACAAGAUUGAAGACUUUUAUGUUUGCUUUAGCUUUCUGCUAAAUCUUAAAUACUUGACCUUUAUUUUACUAAAAUGCCUUUUUAACUUUCCCUUUAUUUUCUAUUUUUACCAGAAAAAUACAUGAUCUGAUACCAGAGAGAAAGGUUGUAUAAGGGUUAGAGUCCUGAGUUUGUUUGUCCUUUUGGUCUGGGCUAGAGUCCUAGAAGCUGGGUUAGAGUCCUAGAAUUUGUUGAAUAAGGCCUUUGGUCUGGGCUAGAGUCCUAGAAGCUGGGUUAGAGUCCUAGAAUAAGAAUAAGGCCUUUGGUCUGGGCUAGAGUCCUAGAAGCUGGGUUAGAGUCCUAGAAUAUUUUCCUUUAGGUCGGGUUGUAGUCCCGACUUGGGUUCCAGAGAGACUGUUGAUCUGAUCUUAAAUACAUUGCACUUUCAAUUUUACUUACUCAAAAGCCUUUUUAACUUUCAAUUUAAUUUUCUCUUAAAUACAUUGCACUUUCUAUUUUACUCAUUUCUUGCAUAUGUUUUCUUUUACUUAUCUAUUAUUUUAUUUUAUUGUAUGACAAUGUUUAUAUGUGAAGCACUUUGAGUCUGCCUUGUGUAUGAAAAGUGCUACAUAAAUAAAGUUGCCUUGCCUUG